AUUAAUAUUAGUCAAGAAUUAAUUGUUAAUUAAUUUUGUGGCUAAAAGAGAUUAAUUAAACUUAGGGGACUGAAGUUGUAAUUAUAAGAUAAUUAUAAUUGGGCUAUGGAUCACCAAAUAAUAUAUAGGUUGGACGAAUUCUAUGGGUAGCCCAUUAGAAAUCGUCCAAGGGAUAUGUUUAAGGAGUCCAUGGGCUGCUUAGGGCCUAAGCAGUCAAAUUAGGGUUUCCUAGUUGUAAACCCUAAUAGCCUACAUGUAUAUAAAGGGCCCCUAUGCCCCAAAAACGUGAAUAAGUCUUCCAUUAGGGUUUCCAGCCGUUUUUGGUGCCUCCCUUUCUUCUCCUCUUCAUCCAAGUUGCAUAUGGUGUUUGUGACUCCAUUAGAGGUACUACACUUGUGGUACUUGCUUUCAAGAGCUAAGGAAAUUCAAGGAACUAGUUGUUAUUGCUAUAUAACAACAAAAGGUAUGUAUUCUAGCUUUAUAUAUGAAUUUCGAAAAUUAUAGUAGCAUGCCAGGUUUCUUUUUGUGUUCAUAAAGCUGUAUAACUAAUAGUGAAAACAUAGAUCCAAUACUAGGGUUGCAUGCACACAUAGGAUUGUUUGUAUUAAACCCAUCAGUGGUAUCAGAGCCAUUGGUUUUUGUUUUCAAUUAGCUUUUAUUCAAAUUUAUGAACUUGACAUAUUAGGGUUUAUGGCUAAUGAACCCUAAAGGCUAGGUAUUUUUCGCAAUUAGGGUUGCUAAACCCUAGAUGGCGAUUUUUGCUAGGGUUUCCCAAAUCCUUUCCUUAGCCUCCAAGAUUUUGAAAUCUAGGGUUUUCCAACCCUUGGAUUUCGAAAUUACCUCCUUCCCCAAGGUUAGAUCCUAAAUUUUAGGGAUUUGGAUAAUCCCAUAUCUUGUAAUUAUCUUUUAAUUGUUAAAUAUGGUAAUUAAAGAUCUUGAAUUAUCCCAUCCCUUAUUUUCGAGAUUUAGAGAGGGAUUCAAGGGAUUUGGAUAUCUUAGAUGUAUAAUUGGUAAUUAUCCUCAUGAUCUAGAUAAUCCCUUGUGAUUUAAUAAUUUAAAUUAAUUGUUUAAUUUAUGGUAAUUAUUAAAUCAACAGUUUUAAUAUUUAAAAUUUUAAUUUAAAUGUCUCAAAUUCAAAAUUUUAAGUGAGAUUAAAACCUAAUUGUUUUGAAGAGUUUCAAAACUUGCCCUCAAGUUUUGGAAUUUAAAUUGUUGAUUAAAAGUUAAUUUUGAAAGUCUAAAAUCCAAAACCCUGAUUUUGAAAAGUUCAAAUUAAACCCUUAUGGUUUUAUUAAAUUAAUUAAGUGUAUAAUUAAAAGAGAUUUAAUAAAUCCAUAAUGAUUUUGGUUAAUUAAAAGUAUAAUUUAAACCACCUAGUAUUUUAAAAGUGUAAAAUACACCCUUAUACUAUAUAUAACAUUAAAAGUUUAAUAUUAUAUAUGUAUAACUAAAAAUUCAGUCUUACCGUUAGUAGGCCUCAUUCACGAAGCUAGUCUAUAAGGGGUGUUUAAGGAAAUUGCCUAUAAAAUGGCGAUUGAAUGGGUAUCCACUCUUACCCACCGCACUCUUGACUAGUGGAGGGUCGUUAGCCGAACGGGUAGGAUAGGACAGAAACCUUCCAUUAUAAGUAUAAUGAAGUACAAAGUAACUAAAUGCUUUUUCAAAUUCCCAAAUCAUAGUUACUUUAGGCAAAAUGUGAAAUUGUAUGCUAACCCAUGGAAUUACACUUCGUACCCUUGUCAAACGUUAGUGGAGCGUGUGUGGUUAACCGGCACACUAAUUUGGGGAUGACAUUGGUAGCGAAGGGUGACUCGAUGUUUGUCAUAGAUCAAUGGAGCGUGUGUGGCUAACCGGCACAUUGAUUAGGUGAUAGUAGCAUUGGGUGCACCACGUGAUUCGUAUGGUUAUUCACACCUUGUUUGUGAUCCUCGGCAUCCCAGUCACAAAUAGUAGGGCAUAAUCGAGAUUAAACAUGCCAUUGAAAAGUUCAAUGAAUCUCAAAAGAUCUAGGAGUUUCAAUUCAUUUAAAACUUAAUCUUCCUUUUCGUUUUUCAUGGUGGAAAUUGGUAAAUCGUCAUUUACCUACCUUCAAAUAUUUUGCAACUAGAUUACGGCAUCCCUCUUCUAGGUUGUAGAGUAUUGUGUUGGAUCCUAGCUUGAUGUUUCAUUUGGGUGUUACAUCAAGAAUUCUAAUCAACUUAACUUGAAUUUUCUCCCGUUUUGUAGAUGUCUGAAUCUUACAAUGGUCUUCCCAAAUCCUUUGGAACAAGCUUUCCAAAUGAAGAUGACGUUCCGAGAUACGAUCAAGGAAAUGAGAGUCAUGCUUCACUUCCUCCACCUCCUCCAAUUGUUCUCCCUGACCCACAAGUUCAAAGGCUUGAAAAGUUCAAGCUCACUCAAGCCCUUUUGGCAAGUAAACACGAAGAUGGGAAACCUGUGUGUGCACACGUCUUAGAGAUGAAGUCACACAUUGAUAGGUUAAGCAUGUUGGGUGUCGAGAUUUCAAGCGAGUUGGCUGCUGACUGGGUUCUUCAGUCACUUCCUGAAUCAUAUAGUGAGUUCGUUAGAGAGUACUAUAUGAUGGAUCACGACGUGACCCUCAUUAAUCUCACCUAUUUGCUUAUAGCUGCUGAAUCAGCAAUGAUUUGGCGUGCUGGUCAAGCAAAUUUGUCUGGUGAAUCAAACUCCCAAACUUCAAUGGACACUGGCAACAUUGGAAGUCCAGAAAGAACUAAGUCUGUGAUUGUCCGAUGUGCUGUGCCAAAGGAGUCCAUUUGCUUUUAUUGCCAAGAGAAGGGGCAUUGGAGACGAAGCUGCCCUAACUACCUGAGAGAUCUAAGAGAUGGGAGAGUCAAGACGUAUGGCUCUGCUUCAGGUAAAAUCCAUUAUCUAACUCUUUUGAGUUCCUAUUCUAGAUUCUUAAUACAUGAUGUGAUAAGAUUACAUUUUGAUGUUUUGUAGGAUCGAAGAAAAGAGAGGAAGCUUGAGGGAAGAAGUGAGCUGAAUCUAAUCAUGAAGAAAUGGAUUUCGAUCGCAUUACUUGAAGAAUGGAUUCUUGAGCUACUACUUGGAGUUAGAAUAGAUUGUUAAGAAAUAUGUAAUAACAUAGUUUUUCAAUUGAAUUGCAUUGUAAGGACAAAUUUUUUCCGCAAUAAAAUGAAUUUUGAUUUUAUCUUAUUUAUUUAUCCUUGCAAUGGCAUGUAUGAAAAAAUUGAUGUUUGAAUGUUUCUAUUAUUAGCAAUAAUGGAUUUGAUUCUUAAUUAUGUUAUUUGUGGAAAUGUCAAAAGUUUACCAAAUAGGGAGAGUUUCUCAUCGCCCAAGUUUCAAUUGGACAGAAACUUGGAAUCAUGCAAUGUGUAUUGUAUGAUGAAUGAAAAACUUUCACAUUUGGGAAACUUAGACUAAUUCUUUGACAAAGUGUCAAUUGAAGGACUAGGAGAUCAAGUACACUAGGUUGUGCGUUGAUCAAGUCCACCACAAGAGUGACAAAGAUAUUCGUCAUGAUUUACUAAAGUUUAGUAAAUAUGAUUAUACUUAUAAGAUUAAGUGUAAUUCUGAGUUGAUUGAAAGAGUUUCAAUGAAUAGUAGAACGAAUAAAGAAGAAUCAAGUAGGCAGAAAGAUAAAAGUUUCUCCAUUCUAAGAAGAAGGGAGAGUACCUUUUAUUGUGUUUUAUGAUAAGUCUUAAUGAUUAAGAACCAUGUCUCAAUUGAUCCUCUAAGUGAGUCUUAGUGCAAUUGCAUGUCUAAGAAGAGGAAUCGAGAAUUGUAGAAAUGGUUAAAUCAAAGAGUCAAUCAUACUUCGUUCCAAUAUCAAGUCUUAGAGUCAUACUCCAAGAUUGUGACAUUGAGUGACAAGUCUUAAGUAGGUUUAUAACACUCAUCAAAUGUGGAAUUUGGAAAAGUUUUCUUAUUCUUGCACAUUAGAAAUUGGUAAGUUGUGAUGUCUUGGAUAAGACAAAGACCAACUAGGACCAAUUUGUGAAGUGUUUUGUCUUGAUAAGAACUACACUAACUCUUGAAUAUUUGCUUUGUCAAGAAAUGUUUCUUGACAAGAGAAUCUUAUAUGUCAAGGAGUCAGUGGGAGUCUUAAUGGUCUUGAAAGGUUUCAAGAACAAAUCAAGAAUAAACCUUAUCGAUCAUCACUAGCACACGACUUGAGGUUUACAACCUAUCGUGCUGACAUUAUUUUGUUUCUGUGCCAUUCCAAUUGAGUUAAUUGUGUAUGUGAGUUCUAUGAGUUCUCAUUUGAAUGCAUACUAGAGCCUUAGUCGAUGGAAAGUACAUUGAUAUGUAAGGACAAGUUACUAAACUACUUGGAAGACAUGGUGGGCACUCGUGUUACCAUAAGGCAAGAAAUCAAGAUUAAGAAAGUUCAGUCCAUAUGAGUUUGGAUUUGUCGCAAACCUUGGUUUUGGCAAAUUCACAUGGAUAGGAACUCAUACACCAUAAAAUCUAAGUGUCAUAAGAUUCCCUCCUUCAUGAAAAUGACUGUGAGGAAAUGCUUUCACUAAGAGAGAUUUUAAGAAGAUAGCGAUUGUGAAAAUUGUAUUCUCAAAUUCGAUUAUGGUUACGGCAUCCCUUUCCAUAGUUCGAAUUGUGAGAUUUGGCAAUUAGUUUGAACAUUUGGAACUUAGUAACAUAAGUUCUGAAUUGUUUAAACACACAUAUGAGCUAUCUAAGACAAAGGUGUAUAAGGUUAAGAAGCCUAGAUAAAGGCUUAUCGAAGCAUCUGGUAUUAGAAAUAUGAAUUUCAGAAAUUCAAUAGGCAUUGUUUUCUGAAAGUUCAUUUGUUUUCUGAAUACAUGUCAAAGCUAGUGGGAGCAUAAGUGUUAUGCUUAUAUGAUAAUAAUCAUCAUGAUAGUGGGAGCAUAAGUGUUAUGCUUGUAUGAUUAUUAUGGCGAGUAUUGCAAGUUAGCAAUAUUAAUUAUAGAAAAACAAAGAUUCAAUUUGCAAAGUUGCAUGGGUUGAAAAGUUGUUUUGAUAUAAUUAAGGGAGAGAAUAUUAUACUUCGUUUCAAAAUCUAAAGCUUAGAUUGAGAAAUUUUAAUAUUUUCAGUCAAAGGAUACAUUGUGUGUUCUUAAAAUUCGAUUAUGAUUACGGCAUCCCUCUUCAUAGUUCGAAUUGUGAGAACAUGACACAUAAAAUAUUAUGGCAAAAGAUUGGUAAAGUAUCAUAUCUUUAUGUAAGACAUUAUGCAUCGUGUCCCAUACGCUUCGGGUAUAGGAUCGAUUGCAAAUGCUAUAAUAUUUUACCAUUCUAAAAUUUUCCAAAUGUCUAGCGCAUUAAGAGGGAAAAAGGAAUAGAAUUGGUUUUGACUAAAAUAAUUUAACAACUAUCAAAGGAUGAUCCAAAGUUCGCUGAGGAUUGAUCGCUUGUGAGUAGUUGGAAGUAUGGUAUUGGAUGGACCAUAUCGACAUUAUUAUGAAUAGAUAAGAUUCUAUUAAGAAUGAGUUGUCAUAUGGCAAAUGUGGAAAUGUUUCCAUAUUGGGAGUUGGAUAUUGAGAUUCUAUGCCUAGAUUAGAAACUUUUAUGCAAGAAGGAUGUUCAAAGGAAUGUACUUUGAAUGUGAGACUUCACAUCUAUGGAAUUGUCUUGUAACAAUUUCUAAGAAAGCACUUUGUAAUUUCAUUAGCCAAGUCUUGGUGACUUUUGUGCUAUGACUUUACGAAAGGAUCGUUGCGUAAAAUGUUAGAAUCUAGCAUAUUCUAGUAGUGGCAAGAACCUUGUGUUCUUACACUAAUAAUUAGGAUUAAGGAAUUGUGAAAUGAGCAUCAUUGGAAAAGUUUUCAGGUGAUCUAUUUCACAAAGCAUGGACCAUAGGAAACAAAGUGUGCAUGUUUAGAGCAUGGGACAAUUGUUGGUAUAAUUCAAGUAAUGAGUUGAUUAUCCGAAACAUUAAAUGAUAAAUAAUGAGUAAUCAAUAUGGUGGAUAAAUAGAAGGGUUUUAUUUACUCUCACAAGUUUGGGGCCAUAUAGGAUUAAGUAUUGUUGUCAUGUUUCAAUUUGCAUGUUUUGACUUCCAGAAUAACUAGGUUAUUCAAACAUCCACAGUUGGUCAUACGUUGGGAGUAGGUAUGAAUAAAGACUGUCAUGAAUCUGUCUGUAGAUUGUCUGAAGUGUUUAGACAUGGCACAAGUUUGCUGCAGAGUUCGUGAGUGCUUUGAUAAGAUUAAAGUAUUGGAUUAAACCCACGCUCACUUGGAUCACUUCACGGUUUUAUCACGAGUGAUUAGUGAGACGAUAAUAUUGUAUAUUCUUGAAACCGAGACGUGUGAGUUGUUAUUUGUUGGUCAGUUACACAUUGAUAAUAAGUAAACGCACCAGUAACUUGGUGUUAUAAAACUUAUUGUUGUGUGUGAUUCGAUCAGUAAAUGCAAGCGAGCAUUUGAGUCGAAGUUUAUCCAUUCCUUUUACCCAAAGUGGGAUAAAAGCGAUAUAUGUGGGCCUCUCGAUGAUUUAGUGAUGACAUCUAAGCGCUUGGCCAAGCCGGGACUAAGUUGAUGUGUUCAAUUGUAGUCUGUUAUCAGUCGUCAUGAAUCGGAAGUCGGGAAAAAGUAUAGAGAGAAUGAUUGAAAUUCAUGUCUUUUGUCUAUACGAUAUCUUGAGAAUGGAGGAAUAUAUAAUCCCUUAUCUAGAGGACACGCUAUCUGAUAAGAUCAGAGUUGACAGCGGCUUUUGAAAGCUACGAUUGCUGAUCAGGUUCUGAAGUCAUACGGAAAAUAGUUAUUAGACUUAUCCAAGUGGGAGACUGUUGGAUUAGUGUCUAAGUCCAUAACUAUUUUGGUAUGUACUUGACCCGAUUAUGAGCAUGGUCCUUUUGGGUUGCCUUCACCAUAGCAAUAUGUAGGAUGAUUUAAGGAGAGAAAGGUUUAAAUAUGAUUUAUAUAUAUUAUGAGAAUGAUAUAUAUUAAAGGAGAAAUCAUAUUGUUUAAUUAAUAUUAGUCAAGAAUUAAUUGUUAAUUAAUUUUGUUGCUAAAAGAGAUUAAUUAAACUUAGGGGACUGAAGUUGUAAUUAUAAGAUAAUUAUAAUUGGGCUAUGGAUCACCAAAUAAUAUAUAGGUUGGACGAAUUCUAUGGGUAGCCCAUUAGAAAUCGUCCAAGGGAUAUGUUUAAGGAGUCCAUGGGCUGCUUAGGGCCUAAGCAGUCAAAUUAGGGUUUCCUAGUUGUAAACCCUAAUAGCCUACAUGUAUAUAAAGGGCCCCUAUGCCCCAAAAACGUGAAUAAGUCUUCCAUUAGGGUUUCCAGCCGUUUUUGGUGCCUCCUUUUCUUCUCCUCUUCAUCCAAGUUGCAUAUGGUGUUUGUGACUCCAUUAGAGGUACUACACUUGUGGUACUUGCUUUCAAGAGCUAAGGAAAUUCAAGGAACUAGUUGU
RNAcentral lists this long non-coding RNA (7372 nucleotides) under Lactuca sativa (garden lettuce). RNAcentral describes it as "long non-coding RNA (LSAT_LNC006347)". The record is from RNAcentral. Lineage: Eukaryota; Viridiplantae; Streptophyta; Magnoliopsida; Asterales; Asteraceae.